AGAUCCAUCAGACGAUGACGGGUAGCCGGCCUGAGAGGGCGACCGGCCACACUGGGACUGAGACACGGCCCAGACUCCUACGGGAGGCAGCAGUGGGGAAUAUUGCACAAUGGGCGAAAGCCUGAUGCAGCGACGCCGCGUGGGGGAUGACGGCCUUCGGGUUGUAAACCCCUUUCAGUAGGGAAGAAGCGAGAGUGACGGUACCUGCAGAAGAAGCGCCGGCUAACUACGUGCCAGCAGCCGCGGUAAUACGUAGGGCGCAAGCGUUGUCCGGAAUUAUUGGGCGUAAAGAGCUCGUAGGUGGCUUGUCGCGUCUGCCGUGAAAACCCGAGGCUCAACCUCGGGCGUGCGGUGGGUACGGGCAGGCUAGAGUGCGGUAGGGGAGACUGGAACUCCUGGUGUAGCGGUGAAAUGCGCAGAUAUCAGGAAGAACACCGAUGGCGAAGGCAGGUCUCUGGGCCAUUACUGACACUGAGGAGCGAAAGCAUGGGUAGCGAACAGGAUUAGAUACCCUGGUAGUCCAUGCCGUAAACGUUGGGCACUAGAUGUGGGGGACAUUCCACGUUUUCCGCGUCGGAGCUGCCGUAUUACGCGACCAGCCUGGGGGGGGCGGGAAAAGGAGAUGAUAGGCCGCGACACU
This 640-nucleotide ribosomal RNA is filed under the name uncultured Brachybacterium sp. Its description in RNAcentral is "bacterial SSU rRNA". It matches the Rfam family "Bacterial small subunit ribosomal RNA", at positions 261 to 873 of the family's 1533-position model. Lineage: Bacteria; Bacillati; Actinomycetota; Actinomycetes; Micrococcales; Dermabacteraceae. The record is from RNAcentral.